This 21-nucleotide microRNA is filed under the name Corchorus capsularis. RNAcentral's name for it is "sRNA CCACVL1_23840". Lineage: Eukaryota; Viridiplantae; Streptophyta; Magnoliopsida; Malvales; Malvaceae. The record is from RNAcentral.
UUAGCGCAUAGUAUUUGGUCU